Canis lupus familiaris (dog) is the source of this 1544-nucleotide long non-coding RNA. RefSeq lists it as uncharacterized. Lineage: Eukaryota; Metazoa; Chordata; Mammalia; Carnivora; Canidae. The record is from RefSeq and is a predicted model, not a curated record. The transcript has 6 exons.
GAUGGGAUUGGGGUAGAGGCCUAGGGUUGGGGUUAGGGUAGAGGCCUAGGGUUGGGGUUAGGGUAGAGGCCUAGGAAAGAGGUUAGGGUUGAGGCCUAGGGAUGGGAUUAGUGCCUAUAAAAGAGACCCUGUAGAGCUCCGUGCCCCCUUCUGUGACAUGGGGACACGGUGAGAAGAUGGCCAUGUGUGAACCGGAGCAGGUCCCCAUCAGACACCAAAUCUGCCAGGGCCUUGGACUCGAACGUCCAGUCUCCAGAGCCAUGAGAAGUAAGCUGCUGUUGUGUAUAAGGUCUGCAGUCUGUAGGAUUGUGUUACGGCAGUGUGGACUAAGACACCGCCUGGCGAGAAGAGGCAUAUUUCAUCCUGCACCAGAAGGCUUCAAUUGCCUCAAAAUUGGAGGAAAGGAAAGAGAAAGGUUGCCUUGGGUCUGAAUUAUUACAGAAAAUGGCUCUCCUAAAUCAACAGGAGGCAGACAUGGUUAUGUUGGACCGUGGCCUAUGUUGGUAGAUGACAAAUUCUGACCCAAAUUCCACAUUCAUAAUGGUUGUUUUGAUCCAGAAAGAACUGUCUCAGCAUAACCUCAGUGAAACCACAAAAGACUCAUGUAACCUGAGAUUUCUCAUGCCCUGGGGCCUGCUGGCCCCCCAUUCUCUGAAACCUGGAGAAAAUCCUGAAGUUCUAACACUUUGGUCCUGGGCCACCUGGUCACACAGAGUGUCUCGUAGUUGGGCUGCUGGAAGAUUGUGAAGCUUACAAAGUUCUUACGUGAAUCUUACUCCCUUUAACCUCACCUUAUUACAUAAGCACAUAGUUUGCUUAAUUGUUUGUUAACACAGUCUAGGGUUAUCUGUGAGUGGAGCUGUCCUGCCAGAUUGUAAGGUCAAUGUGAUAUCACCAUCUUGGAACUUUGGCCAGAAUCCUAGUCAGUGACCUUGUGCUGAUUUAUUUCUUCACAACAUUGAACUUCCCGGGUUCUGAAGGUUUAAGUAACUCAUUAGGGACCCACAAAAGCCUUCCGGACCAUGAGGCAUUCCUUCAAACUAUUAAAUGGAGCAAGUGAAAUUGAUCAGAUAAAAUUCCUGUGGUUGAAAUUUUAUUGAUGCCCACUUCGGAAUUAUCCAGAGGAUUAGCUAAGCAGAAGUGUGUUUUAACUGUGCCAUAUAUACUUUAAAAAGGAGCCUCACCUCACUCGGCUGUGGCUUGAGCUCCCUCUCAAGCAGCGCAGUACGGGGGGCUCUGCUUGGCUGAGGAUGUCUGCGGAGGGACUGCGGGCAGGGCACUGUGGGGUUGGGCAUCCCGUUGUGGGGUGACAGGAAGCCCGGCUUUCUCUACGCCAUUCUAUGAUCCAUUACCUUUAUUCGCCUUGUGUAAAAAAGUGAUGUUCUUCCUCCUGGGCCUAUCAGGUUCCAGGAGUGUCCUUGGUCUAGAUACAGGGUGAAGGAGGUGAUCGCCGCUGCUUUUCCAUACGGGGCACAUGCUCUGUGCCUUAGUAUUACGAGAUAUAUAAAUCUUGUCUCUCAAAUUUAGACCAACGUAGACCAAAU